GCGCAGCAGUCGCGAAUCUUCCACAAUGGACGAAAGUCUGAUGGAGCGACGCCGCGUGCGGGAUGAAGGCCUUAUGGGUUGUAAACCGCUGUCAGGGGGGAAGAACAUCGGAAUGAACAAUACUCAUUCCGACUGACGUUACCCCCAGAGGAAGCUCCGGCCAACUCCGUGCCAGCAGCCGCGGUAAUACGGGGGGAGCAAGCGUUGUCCGGAAUUAUUGGGCGUAAAGGGCGUGUAGGCGGCGAGGUAAGUCGAAUGUGAAAUCUCACGGCUCAACCGUGAAACUGCGUUCGAAACUCCCUGCUUGAGUACGGGAGAGGUGUACGGAAUUCCUGGUGUAGCGGUGGAAUG
RNAcentral lists this ribosomal RNA (351 nucleotides) under uncultured microorganism. RNAcentral's name for it is "bacterial SSU rRNA". It matches the Rfam family "Bacterial small subunit ribosomal RNA", at positions 346 to 688 of the family's 1533-position model. The record is from RNAcentral.